GAUGAACGCUAGCUACAGGCUUAACACAUGCAAGUCGAGGGGAAACGACAUCGCAAGCUUGCUUUUGAUGGGCGUCGACCGGCGCACGGGUGAGUAACGCGUAUCCAACCUGCCCACCACUUGGGGAUAACCUUGCGAAAGUAAGACUAAUGCCCAAUGACGUCUCUAGAAGACAUCUGAAAGAGAUUAAAGAUUUAUCGGUGAUGGAUGGGGAUGCGUCUGAUUAGCUUGUUGGCGGGGUAACGGCCCACCAAGGCGACGAUCAGUAGGGGUUCUGAGAGGAAGGUCCCCCACAUUGGAACUGAGACACGGUCCAAACUCCUACGGGAGGCAGCAGUGAGGAAUAUUGGUCAAUGGACGAGAGUCUGAACCAGCCAAGUAGCGUGCAGGAUGACGGCCCUAUGGGUUGUAAACUGCUUUUAUAAGGGAAUAAAGUGAGUCUCGUGAGACUUUUUGCAUGUACCUUAUGAAUAAGGACCGGCUAAUUCCGUG
Molecule: ribosomal RNA, 492 nt
Filed under: uncultured bacterium
Lineage: Bacteria
Description: partial 16S ribosomal RNA
Rfam family: Bacterial small subunit ribosomal RNA
Source: RNAcentral